UACGUAGGGCGCGAGCGUUGUCCGGAAUCAUUGGGCGUAAAGAGCUCGUAGGCGGCCGGUUGCGUCUGCUGUGAAAUCCCGGGGCUUAACCCCGGGCGUGCAGUGGAUACGGGCUGGCUGGAGGCAGGCAGGGGAGAAUGGAAUUCCCGGUGUAGCGGUGGAAUGCGUAGAGAUCCGGAAGAACACCGGUGGCGAAGGCGGCCUGCUGGGCAGUUAGCUGACACUGAGGCGCGACAGCGUGGGGAGCAAACAGG
Molecule: ribosomal RNA, 254 nt
Filed under: uncultured bacterium
Lineage: Bacteria
Description: partial 16S ribosomal RNA
Rfam family: Bacterial small subunit ribosomal RNA
Source: RNAcentral